This 73-nucleotide transfer RNA is filed under the name Elusimicrobia bacterium RIFCSPLOWO2_12_FULL_59_9. RNAcentral's name for it is "tRNA-Lys". It matches the Rfam family "tRNA". Rfam says of the family: Transfer RNA (tRNA) molecules are approximately 80 nucleotides in length. The record is from RNAcentral. Lineage: Bacteria; Pseudomonadati; Elusimicrobiota. RNAcentral also lists the same sequence under 1 other name.
GGAUCGCUAGCUCAAUCGGUAGAGCAGACGCCUCUUAAGCGUAAGGUUCCGAGUUCGAUUCUCGGGCGAUCCA